This 253-nucleotide ribosomal RNA is filed under the name uncultured bacterium. RNAcentral describes it as "partial 16S ribosomal RNA". It matches the Rfam family "Bacterial small subunit ribosomal RNA", at positions 524 to 776 of the family's 1533-position model. The record is from RNAcentral.
UACAGAGGUCUCAAGCGUUGUUCGGAUUCAUUGGGCGUAAAGGGUGUGUAGGUGGCGCGCUAAGUCGGGUGUGAAAUUUCGGAGCUUAACUCCGAAACUGCAUUCGAUACUGGCGUGCUUGAGGACUGGAGAGGAGACUGGAAUUCAUGGUGUAGCAGUGAAAUGCGUAGAGAUCAUGGGGAAGACCAGUGGCGAAGGCGGGUCUCUGGACAGUUCCUGACACUGAGACACGAAGGCCAGGGGAGCAAACGGG